UCAACACUAAAAUUCUUUCCUCCCUUUUCUUCCUCCUUUCCUUGUUUUCUCCUCUUUUCACUCCUUUUUUUUCCCUCAUUUUCCUUUCCUCUCCCUUAUUUCCCUCACAUGCCUUCUCUUCCUAUUUGACUAGUUAUCCCACCCCUUUUACCAAAAGAAAGCGACCAACUUUCAUUUUUUUCUUUUCUCUCCAAAACCACCAUUCGUGCCACCUUUUUGUGUCUAGCUCCUCAUCUCUUCUUCUUUUUCACUUUUCCACCACAUCUCCUCUAUUGUGCCACUUAUUGCAUCAAAGUCACCACCACUGCACCAUCCACUUAGCUCCACCAACACACCACUGUACGAUCAAUGCCACCAUCGUCGCAUCACCACCGCCGCCACCCUUUCUUAUCC
Molecule: long non-coding RNA, 393 nt
Filed under: Gossypium raimondii (Peruvian cotton)
Lineage: Eukaryota; Viridiplantae; Streptophyta; Magnoliopsida; Malvales; Malvaceae
Description: long non-coding RNA (GRAI_LNC004621)
Source: RNAcentral